RNAcentral lists this transfer RNA (123 nucleotides) under Coniochaeta sp. 2T2.1. It matches the Rfam family "tRNA". From Rfam's summary of the family: Transfer RNA (tRNA) molecules are approximately 80 nucleotides in length. Their secondary structure includes four short double-helical elements and three loops (D, anti-codon, and T loops). The record is from Rfam by way of RNAcentral. Lineage: Eukaryota; Fungi; Ascomycota; Sordariomycetes; Coniochaetales; Coniochaetaceae.
GGGAGGAUGGCCGAGCGGUCUAAGGCGCUAGACUCAAGUGUACUUUCCACACUUACUUUGCUCACAAGCGAAGAAAGCAUUCUAGUAUCGAAAGAUGCGCGGGUUCGAAUCCCGCUCCUCUCA